This 253-nucleotide ribosomal RNA is filed under the name uncultured bacterium. RNAcentral's name for it is "partial 16S ribosomal RNA". It matches the Rfam family "Bacterial small subunit ribosomal RNA", at positions 524 to 776 of the family's 1533-position model. The record is from RNAcentral.
UACGUAGGGUGCAAGCGUUAAUCGGAAUUACUGGGCGUAAAGCGUGCGCAGGCGGCUUUGCAAGACAGAUGUGAAAUCCCCGGGCUUAACCUGGGAACUGCAUUUGUGACUGCAUGGCUGGAGUGCGGCAGAGGGGGAUGGAAUUCCGCGUGUAGCAGUGAAAUGCGUAGAGAUGUGGAGGAACACCGAUGGCGAAGGCAAUCCCCUGGGCCUGUACUGACGCUCAUGCACGAAAGCGUGGGGAGCAAACAGG